ACGCUCGACACCUACUGGAGGCAGCAGUGGGGAAUAUUGCACAAUGGGGGAAACCCUGAUGCAGCGACGCCGCGUGGAGGAAGAAGGUCUUCGGAUUGUAAACUCCUGUUGUUGGGGAAAAAAGNGGAUGGUACCCAACAAGGAAGUGACGGCUAACUACGUGCCAGCACGCCGGUACGGUAAUCUGAGGCGGGCUGGACAAGGC
RNAcentral lists this ribosomal RNA (205 nucleotides) under uncultured bacterium. Its description in RNAcentral is "partial 16S ribosomal RNA". It matches the Rfam family "Bacterial small subunit ribosomal RNA", at positions 328 to 539 of the family's 1533-position model. The record is from RNAcentral.